RNAcentral lists this ribosomal RNA (253 nucleotides) under uncultured bacterium. Its description in RNAcentral is "partial 16S ribosomal RNA". It matches the Rfam family "Bacterial small subunit ribosomal RNA", at positions 524 to 776 of the family's 1533-position model. The record is from RNAcentral.
UACGGAGGGGGCUAGCGUUGUUCGGAAUUACUGGGCGUAAAGCGCACGUAGGCGGAUUGGAAAGUUGGGGGUGAAAUCCCGGGGCUCAACCCCGGAACUGCCUUCAAAACUCCCAGUCUGGAGGUCGAGAGAGGUGAGUGGAAUUCCGAGUGUAGAGGUGAAAUUCGUAGAUAUUCGGAGGAACACCAGUGGCGAAGGCGGCUCACUGGCUCGAUACUGGCGCUGAGGUGCGAAAGCGUGGGGAGCAAACAGG